RNAcentral lists this ribosomal RNA (1069 nucleotides) under Salmonella enterica subsp. enterica serovar Typhimurium. RNAcentral's name for it is "bacterial LSU rRNA". It matches the Rfam family "Bacterial large subunit ribosomal RNA", at positions 1446 to 2500 of the family's 2925-position model. Lineage: Bacteria; Pseudomonadati; Pseudomonadota; Gammaproteobacteria; Enterobacterales; Enterobacteriaceae. The record is from RNAcentral.
UGGUGUUACUGCGAAGGGGGGACGGAGAAGGCUAUGUUGGCCGGGCGACGGUUGUCCCGGUUUAAGCGUGUAGGUGUGUGUUCCAGGUAAAUCCGGUUCACUUUAACACUGAGGCGUGACGACGAGGCACUACGGUGCUGAAGCAACAAAUGCCCUGCUUCCAGGAAAAGCCUCUAAGCAUCAGGUAACAUCAAAUCGUACCCCAAACCGACACAGGUGGUCAGGUAGAGAAUACCAAGGCGCUUGAGAGAACUCGGGUGAAGGAACUAGGCAAAAUGGUGCCGUAACUUCGGGAGAAGGCACGCUGACACGUAGGUGAAGUGAUUUACUCAUGGAGCUGAAGUCAGUCGAAGAUACCAGCUGGCUGCAACUGUUUAUUAAAACACAGCACUGUGCAAACACGAAAGUGGACGUAUACGGUGUGACGCCUGCCCGGUGCCGGAAGGUUAAUUGAUGGGGUCAGCGCAAGCGAAGCUCCUGAUCGAAGCCCCGGUAAACGGCGGCCGUAACUAUAACGGUCCUAAGGUAGCGAAAUUCCUUGUCGGGUAAGUUCCGACCUGCACGAAUGGCGUAAUGAUGGCCAGGCUGUCUCCACCCGAGACUCAGUGAAAUUGAACUCGCUGUGAAGAUGCAGUGUACCCGCGGCAAGACGGAAAGACCCCGUGAACCUUUACUAUAGCUUGACACUGAACAUUGAGCCUUGAUGUGUAGGAUAGGUGGGAGGCUUUGAAGUGUGGACGCCAGUCUGCAUGGAGCCGACCUUGAAAUACCACCCUUUAAUGUUUGAUGUUCUAACGUGGACCCGUAAUCCGGGUUGCGGACAGUGUCUGGUGGGUAGUUUGACUGGGGCGGUCUCCUCCUAAAGAGUAACGGAGGAGCACGAAGGUUGGCUAAUCCUGGUCGGACAUCAGGAGGUUAGUGCAAUGGCAUAAGCCAGCUUGACUGCGAGCGUGACGGCGCGAGCAGGUGCGAAAGCAGGUCAUAGUGAUCCGGUGGUUCUGAAUGGAAGGCCAUCGCUCAACGGAUAAAAGGUACUCCGGGGAUAACAGGCUGAUACCGCCCAAGAGUU